GAUGAACGCUAGCGAUAGGCUUAACACAUGCAAGUCGAGGGGCAGCAUGGUCUUAGCUUGCUAAGACUGAUGGCGACCGGCGCACGGGUGCGUAACGCGUAUGCAACUUGCCUCACAGAGGGGGAUAACCCGUCGAAAGACGGACUAAUACCGCGUACACUCCAUCUUGGGCAUCCAAGGUAGAGGAAAUGAAAUUCGCUGUGAGAUAGGCAUGCGUCCCAUUAGCUAGUUGGUGAGGUAACGGCUCACCAAGGCGACGAUGGGUAGGGGAACUGAGAGGUUGAACCCCCACACUGGUACUGAGACACGGACCCGACUACUACGGGAGGCAGCAGUGAGGAAUAUUGGUCAAUGGGCGAGAGCCUGAACCAGCCAAGUCGCGUGAAGGAUGACUGUCUUAUGGAUUGUAAACUUCUUUUAUACGGGAAUAACAAGAGUCACGUGUGACUCCCUGCAUGUACCGUAUGAAUAAGCAUCGGCUAACUCCGUG
Molecule: ribosomal RNA, 490 nt
Filed under: uncultured bacterium
Lineage: Bacteria
Description: partial 16S ribosomal RNA
Rfam family: Bacterial small subunit ribosomal RNA
Source: RNAcentral